Molecule: ribosomal RNA, 495 nt
Filed under: uncultured bacterium
Lineage: Bacteria
Description: partial 16S ribosomal RNA
Rfam family: Bacterial small subunit ribosomal RNA
Source: RNAcentral
GACGAACGCUGGCGGCGUGCCUAAUACAUGCAAGUAGAACGCUGAAGGAGGAGCUUGCUCUUCUGGAUGAGUUGCGAACGGGUGAGUAACGCGUAGGUAACCUGCCUGGUAGCGGGGGAUAACUAUUGGAAACGAUAGCUAAUACCGCAUAACAGUAGAUGUUGCAUGACAUUUGCUUAAAAGGUGCAAUUGCACCACUACCAGAUGGACCUGCGUUGUAUUAGCUAGUUGGUGGGGUAACGGCUCACCAAGGCGACGAUACAUAGCCGACCUGAGAGGGUGAUCGGCCACACUGGGACUGAGACACGGCCCAGACUCCUACGGGAGGCAGCAGUAGGGAAUCUUCGGCAAUGGACGGAAGUCUGACCGAGCAACGCCGCGUGAGUGAAGAAGGUUUUCGGAUCGUAAAGCUCUGUUGUAAGAGAAGAACGAGUGUGAGAGUGGAAAGUUCACACUGUGACGGUACCUUACCAGAAAGGGACGGCUAACUACGUG